This 253-nucleotide ribosomal RNA is filed under the name uncultured bacterium. RNAcentral's name for it is "partial 16S ribosomal RNA". It matches the Rfam family "Bacterial small subunit ribosomal RNA", at positions 524 to 776 of the family's 1533-position model. The record is from RNAcentral.
UACGUAGGGUGCGAGCGUUAAUCGGAAUUACUGGGCGUAAAGCGUGCGCAGGCGGUCUGUUAAGACAGAUGUGAAAUCCCCGGGCUUAACCUGGGAACUGCAUUUGUGACUGGCAGGCUAGAGUAUGGCAGAGGGGGGUAGAAUUCCACGUGUAGCAGUGAAAUGCGUGGAGAUGUGGAGGAAUACCGAUGGCGAAGGCAGCCCCCUGGGCCAAUACUGACGCUCAUGCACGAAAGCGUGGGGAGCAAACAGG